Molecule: ribosomal RNA, 277 nt
Filed under: uncultured bacterium
Lineage: Bacteria
Description: partial 16S ribosomal RNA
Rfam family: Bacterial small subunit ribosomal RNA
Source: RNAcentral
GACGAACGCUGGCGGCGUGCCUAAUACAUGCAAGUCGAGCGGGCGGAAGGGGAGCUUGCUCUCUGGAAGCCAGCGGCGGACGGGUGAGUAACACGUGGGCAACCUACCCGGCAGACCGGGAUAACGCCUGGAAACGGGUGCUAAUACCGGAUAGGCGCAGAGGACGCAUGUUCUGUGCGGGAAAGGCGCUACGGCGCCACUGUCGGAUGGGCCCGCGGCGCAUUAGCUAGUUGGUGGGGUAACGGCCCACCAAGGCGACGAUGCGUAGCCGACCUGA